Molecule: long non-coding RNA, 3846 nt
Organism: Mirounga angustirostris (Northern elephant seal)
Lineage: Eukaryota; Metazoa; Chordata; Mammalia; Carnivora; Phocidae
Exons: 4
Source: RefSeq, a predicted model, not a curated record
UCUUCUUCAAUUUUAUCAAUGUGUUACAGUUUUCAGAGUACAGGUCUUUCGCUUCCUUGGUUAAAUUUAUUUCUAGGUAUUUUAUUUUUUGAUGUAAUUGUGAAUGGGACUGUUUUCUUAAUUUCUCUGAUAGUUUAUUAUUAUAUAGAAACACAACAGAUUUCUGUAUAUUAAGUGUGUAUUCUGCAACUUUACUGAAUUUAUUAGUCAUUUAUCCUUUUUUUUUUUAAGAUCUUAUUUAUUUACUUGAGAGACAGAGAGAGAGCACAAGUGGAGGAGGGGCAGAGGCAGAAGGACAAGCAGACUCCCCGCUGGGCACGGAGCCAGACACAGGGCUUGAUCCCAAGACCCCGAGAACACUACCAGAGCUGAAGUUAGACGUUUAACCGACUGAGCCAUCCAGGUAUCUCAGACCCUAGGGAGGAGGAAAGAGUUCCAAGGGCAUAACCAGUGUCCCUUACCAGGAAGGUGAGGAACAGAGCAAGCACCAGCUUAUAAAAAUCUGCUUUUCAGACUUGUAGUUGGGCAUUUUUAUGUAUCACCUCCUUUUGCUCUGUGCAACAAUCCUGUAAGGAAAAUACUUAGGCCUUUUUGCAAGUGAAGAAAGUGUGGCGGGAAAUCACCUAAUGUCCAAUAAUAGUAGCAUGGAUACUUAAAUGUGGUAUAUUCAUUAAGAUGGAAUACUAAAUAGCAGUUACAAAUGAAGGAAUUCAGCUCAGUGCAUCAAUAUGGAUGACAAUGUUGAGUAGAUAAUUCUGAGUAAAAAAGCAAGACACAAAACAAAAUACAUGAGAAAUUCUGAAGGAAAGUUAUUUCCAAACUUUCAUUUGAUACACAGCCAAAUGAUGAAUUGUGAACACAAAAUGAAGACACUUCUAGACAUGCAAGAAACCAAAAGUAUUAUUUCCCAUCAACUCUUUCUCAGGAAGUUGUUGGGAAAGGUUUUCCACUAAAAUGAGUAGAAAGCCCGAGAAAGGGAAGUUCAUGGGAUCUAGAAUGCAGGUUUCCAACAGAGGAGGGUGGUGAAGGGGAUUCCCCAGGAUGGAGGUGAGGAGAGAUGCCCGCGUAACAGCUGCACAACAGAGCUCCGGAGCAUCCAGUGCAGGCUAGAGAAGUCAGAAGAUUUGGAAAGACGAUAUGGUGUCAGCAAGAUGAAAUGAAAGAACAUCUAAUAUAUUUGAACAUACUGGGAGGAUAUUUACCCACUUAAGGUGGUGAAGAAAAAUAAUAAGGACAUAGGAAAGUAAAUGUACAAACAACUAACAAUAACUGAUUAAUCUCCAGAAAAGCAAAACGUUGUGCAAGAAAGGAAAAGUAAUCACCAUAUACUACAUAGGCCUGUGGUCAACAGGGUUUACAGUCUUAAUAUGUAAACAUUCAAUAUUGAUCAACUCAUAAUUAUUGAUAUAACCAUAUCAGAAGGACCCAGGGAGUGGGUGGAAGAGGAAGAGAGAGAGAGUGUGUGUGUGUUUGCAUGCCCUGAUUUCCAUCUCUCUUUCCCAGUUUUGUUUUUUUUUUUUUUUGUAUUUAUUUAUUUGACAGAGAGAGACACAGCGAGAGAGGGAACACAAGCAGGGGGAGUGGGAGAGGGAGAAGCAGGCUUCUCUCUGAGCAGGGAGCCCGAUGCGGGGCUCAAUCCCAGGACCCGGGAUCAUGACCAGAGCUGAAGGCAGAUGCUUAAUGACUGAGCCACCCAGGCGCCCCUCCCAGUUUGUUGUGAAAACUUUGUUUUUCCCUCUGACUGCCCUUUUAUUUUCUUCUUCAAACUAAUGUAUUUCCCAUGCUUUCAAUAAUGCACAUGUAUUAGUUUUUAUAUUCAAAAAGAGAAAAAACCAACACAGCUUAUUACAAAGAAAAGGUCAGGAAUGAUGUCUCCAAGCAUCCUCAGCUCCCAUUCUUAAUGCACUAUGGACUUAGCAUCUGUAAAUUUUUCUAAAUGUUAUUUGAACCUAUGUACAGUUUCAGCAUGUACCACUGCUCGGGCAUAAUGAAUUUCAUAAGAUUACCAUGCUAUGCAAGGAAUUCUUUUAUAGAAUCAUAGAAUCCUACCUUUUCAUUUACCAUCUUUCAAAUCCAAGGGGUUCCCUACAGUCAAGGGUUUUGUAAGGUGUGUUUAGGACAGUGUGGCUGAGGUAAGGUCUGUGAAGGGAACAGAGGCUAGAGGCCUGGGGUGCUUUGAAGUUAGUGGAGGCAGAGGAGCUGGUGAAAAAACCAGGAAGAGAAGAUGAAGACCCACCUCCUCUCCCCUACUAAGGACACAAAGGGAAGACAGAUCUGACUGGCAGGCUCCCUGGUGCCUCCUGAAACAUGAAUAUGCAAAUGACUCGCCUGAACCUCUUGUUAAAGUGCAGAUUCUGAUUUGGAGGUCUGAGGUCUACAUUCUUUUCUUUCUUUCUUUUUUUUUUUUUUUCCAGAGAGAGAGAGCAUGUACUCUCAUGAGUGGGAAGGGAGGAGGGGCAGAGGGAGAGAGAGAAAGAAUCUCAAGCAGGCGCCAUGCUCAGCAAGGAGCCUGACCCGAGGCUCCAUCUCUGAGAUCAUGACCUGAGCUGAAAUCAAGAGUCAGACGCUUUUUUUUUUCUUUAAAGAUUUUAUUUAUUUUUCAACAGAGAGAGAGAGAGAGACAGUGAGAGAGGGAACACAAGCAGGGGGAGGGGGAGAGGGAGAAGCAGGCCUCCCGCGGAGCAGGCAGCCCAAUGCGGGGCUCGAUCCCAGGACCCUGGGAUCAUGACCUGAGCCGAAGCAGACACUUAACGACUGAGCCACCCAGGCGCCCCAAGAGUCAGAUGCUUAACCAACUAAGCCACCCAGGCGCUCCUGGGAUCUGCAUUUCUGACAGGCCCCCAGGUGAUGCCAGGCUGCUGGCCCAUGGACAAUGUUUUGAGUGCCUAAGAUGAUCUGCAAGGUCCUCUAAAAACUGACCUGUUUCUUCAGCUUCCUCUCCUCCACCCGCUCCCCACCCCAUUCUAAUGUCUCUGUUGCAGUCAUGCUGAACCACUCAGAGUCCCUAAUGUGCGGGGUGGGGGCUCCUGUCCUUGCACAGGCUGUUCCCUGGGCCUGGAUUCUACCCUCCCCCUGCCCCCCAUGAUUGCUACUUUCCUGAGACCCAGCUCGUGUGUGUCCUCUUCUGUGAGACAUCACCACCCACUCUUCUUCAGAAAGAGUAUUUCUCUCCCUCUACCUAGAUGUGUGUCUAUUACUGCCUUUCUCAUACAAGAUUGCAAUUUUUUAUUUACUCUGAACUUACUGAAGGAAGUGACCCUGUCCUGUCUUUUGUAUCCCCAGCAUCUGGUACAGUGCUGGCAGCUACAUAAAUGCCACCUAACAGAAUUAAUGCUUGUUUUAUAAAGAAGGAAUAGAUUCUCAACAAUGUAGUUUUACAUUUUUUUGUUUUACAAAGAGGACCAAAAAAAAAAAAAAAAAAAAAAAGACUGGGAAAGGAUACUCAAUGCACGAAGUAGGUGAUACUUGGUAACUGUCAAUACUGCCAGUUUCCUUCCCAUCUGCCUUCCCUUUCUCCUUUCCUUCUUUCCAAUCAUCCUUCCCUCUUUCCCUCUUUUUUCUGUUGAUUCUUUGAAUUUUUUAUUAUUUAUUUUUUUUAAAAGAUUUUAUUUAUUUGACACACAGAGAGAGAAAGGGCACAAGCAGGGGGAGCGGCAGAGGGAGAGGGAGAAGCAGGCUCCCCACCGAACAGAGAGCCUGACAUGGUGCCCCAUCCCAGGACCCCAGGAUCAUGACCUGAGCUGAAGGCAGAUGCUUAAUUGACUGAGCCACCCAGGUGCCCCCUUUUUAUUUUUUUUUAAAGAUUUUAUUUAUUCAUUUGAGACAGAGAGAGAGAGAGAGCAUGAG